Molecule: non-coding RNA, 272 nt
Organism: Chlorocebus sabaeus (green monkey)
Lineage: Eukaryota; Metazoa; Chordata; Mammalia; Primates; Cercopithecidae
Source: Rfam
GCCGGGCGCGGUGGCUCAUGCCUGUAAUCUCAGUGCUUUGGGAGGCCGAGGAGGGUGGAUCACGAGGUCAGGAGAUGGAGACCAUACUGGCUAACACGGUGAAACCCCGUCUCUACUAAAAAAUACAAAAAACUAGCCGGGCGAGGUGGCANUGGGACUACAGGCGCCCGCCACCUCGCCCGGCUAGUUUUUUGUAUUUUUUAGUAGAGACGGGGUUUCACCAUAUUAGCCAGGAUGGUCUCGAUUUCCUGACCUCGUGAUCCGCCCGUCUU